RNAcentral lists this long non-coding RNA (595 nucleotides) under Vulpes vulpes (red fox). RNAcentral's name for it is "lncRNA (ENSVVUG00000006497.1)". Lineage: Eukaryota; Metazoa; Chordata; Mammalia; Carnivora; Canidae. The record is from RNAcentral.
AUGAGAAGGAAAAGCAGUGGACUAGAGCUGGCUUCUGCUGAAGGAAGACAUGUCACACCUGAGGGCUUGGGCCAGGCAGGGGGAACCCUCAGGACGCAGACACGGUCGUUUACCACGAAGGAGCAAGAGACUCAGAGCGGGCUUCCUGGAGGAGGUGUCUCCCCCAAGCCAGGGCAGGAAGGCAAGAGGAAUUCCCUCCUACGUGGGCAAGUGGAGCGGUCUACCUUUUUGUUUUAUUCGGGCCUUCCCCUGAUUGCACGAGGCCCACCAUGGUCGGAAGAACAGCGCCAGCUUCAUAGGUGUUUAAUCUGAGCGGUCAUACUUAGAAGGGUUCUGUGUUUGGCUCAAUGCCCGCUGCCAUCAUCUUGGAAUUCUUAAUUUUUUUUUUGCACGGGUCCCCACAUUUUCGUUGUGUACUGUGCUCCACGCACCACGUAGCAGGUCCCCAGGGGGGGACUCUUUCACUGAGUUCUUAAGAGGAUUAAAUGAGACGACACCGGUAAAGCUCUCGGCANAUAACCUGAACUCGUUCACUGAGUUCUUAAGAGGAUUAAAUGAGACGACACCGGUAAAGCUCUCGGCACCUUGCCCGACA